GGUUGAUCCUGCCAGUAGUCAUAUGCUUGUCCCAAAGAUUAAGCCAUGCAUGUCUAAGUAUAAACCUUUAUACGGUGAAACUGCGAAUGGCUCAUUAAAUCAGUUAUAAUUUAUUUGAUGGUCUCUUUACUACUUGGAUAACCGUGGUAAUUCUAGAGCUAAUACAUGCAAAAAGCCCAACUUCUGGAAGGGCUGUAUUUAUUAGGUAAAAACCAACGCCGCAAGGCACCUUGGUGAUUCAUAAUAACUCUGCGGAUCGUAUGGCCUUGCGCCGACGACGCUUCAUUCAAAUU
RNAcentral lists this ribosomal RNA (293 nucleotides) under uncultured eukaryote. RNAcentral describes it as "partial 18S ribosomal RNA". It matches the Rfam family "Eukaryotic small subunit ribosomal RNA", at positions 6 to 305 of the family's 1831-position model. The record is from RNAcentral.